GACGAACGCUGGCGGCGUGCCUAAUACAUGCAAGUUGAGCGCUGAAGGUUGGUACUUGUGCCCACUGGAUGAGCAGCGAACGGGUGAGUAACGCGUGGGGAAUCUGCCUUUGAGCGGGGGACAACAUUUGGAAACGAAUGCUAAUACCGCAUAAAAACUUUAAACACAAGUUUUAAGUUUGAAAGAUGCAAUUGCAUCACUCAAAGAUGAUCCCGCGUUGUAUUAGCUAGUUGGUGAGGUAAAGGCUCACCAAGGCGAUGAUACAUAGCCGACCUGAGAGGGUGAUCGGCCACAUUGGGACUGAGACACGGCCCAAACUCCUACGGGAGGCAGCAGUAGGGAAUCUUCGGCAAUGGACGAAAGUCUGACCGAGCAACGCCGCGUGAGGGAAGAAGGUUUUCGGAUCGUAAAACUCUGUUGGUAGAGAAGAACGUUGGUGAGAGUGGAAAGCUCAUCAAGUGACGGUAACUACCCAGAAAGGGACGGCUAACUACGUG
Molecule: ribosomal RNA, 497 nt
Filed under: uncultured bacterium
Lineage: Bacteria
Description: partial 16S ribosomal RNA
Rfam family: Bacterial small subunit ribosomal RNA
Source: RNAcentral